CAGUAGCCGCGGUAAUACGAAGGGGGCUAGCGUUGCUCGGAAUUACUGGGCGUAAAGGGAGCGUAGGCGGACAUUUAAGUCAGGGGUGAAAUCCCAGAGCUCAACUCUGGAACUGCCUUUGAUACUGGGUGUCUUGAGUGUGAUAGAGGUAUGUGGAACUCCGAGUGUAGAGGUGAAAUUCGUAGAUAUUCGGAAGAACACCAGUGGCGAAGGCGACAUACUGGAUCAUUACUGACGCUGAGGCUCGAAAGCGUGGGGAGCAAACAGGAUUAGAUAACCCGUGUAGUCCCUGUCUCUUAUA
This 301-nucleotide ribosomal RNA is filed under the name uncultured bacterium. Its description in RNAcentral is "partial 16S ribosomal RNA". It matches the Rfam family "Bacterial small subunit ribosomal RNA", at positions 509 to 808 of the family's 1533-position model. The record is from RNAcentral.